Molecule: non-coding RNA, 5136 nt
Organism: Manis javanica (Malayan pangolin)
Lineage: Eukaryota; Metazoa; Chordata; Mammalia; Pholidota; Manidae
Source: RefSeq, a predicted model, not a curated record
GAUCGUUUGCCUCUGUAAAACCAGUUGAUUGGUCUGUGUUACAUAACACUAUGACCCUAGGUUAUAUUAGACUCCCGGAAGGGUCCAGAAUGAGCAAUCAUGUAUAAAGCACCUAUUAGGUGGCAAGCGCAGUGCUAAGCACAGUAACAUCAAAAUCAGCACCUGUGUUCAUUCAGUGCCUGUUAAGUAUCACGCAGAGCUAAGCAUGUACACCUACGGGUCCAUAAACUGAACUAGUUUCCAGACGUGGGAUAGGUAGUCCAAAUAUCACAGUGAAUCUUUAAAGACUUAAGAAUGCCAAAAAUUUACUGAGGCUUCCUGAUUUGGGAAUGCAGGAUGGUCGGUACCAGCCUGGAUUGGAGCACACAGCCCAAUAUUCCUGAAGGGCAGAGCAUCGGAGCCCAGAAAGCCAUCCUGGCAACUGCUGAUGUCGUUCGUUCUCUGUGGUCUUCAUGUCACUGCUGUUUGUAGCAUGGAGAGACUCCUUGAGAGGCGUCGAAUGUGCAAGUUGAAAAUGCCCAAGGUAGCCGUUGCCACUCCCUGGAGUGCCCCCUAUUCAUCUGUCUCUGUUUGAAUCUCAUCAGGAAUUCUGAUACUGUCUUUGGACCUUGGCCCCAAAACCGUGUCUCAAAAUAAUGUCGCUGUGUUCUCGUAACGUUAUUAAUUCUGUGCACCCAGUGCUUUUGAAACUCGUCUACUUUACAAAUGCUCAAGGAAAUUUCAUUGCCUCGUUUUGAAGCUCCUCCCUCCUGUGCUGUCAUUAGUGAAUAAUGGGGGAACCAAGACCCACAGGGUGUGGUUAUUACUAACGAGACCUUGGGUGUUUCACAAGCUCACUUGGAAUGAACUUGAGGCCGUUCGUACAUAGUCACUCAUUUUUCCUUACCACGGCUGGGUUGAGAGACCCAGAUUCUAUUCUUGGGCCCUAACUUCUUGGGAAAAGCAUUUAGCCACUAAUUGUCUCAGUUCCCAACUAUGAAACAGGAAGAGUGAUAGAAGGAUAUUUGCUUUCCCCUCUCCCUAUCCUUAGCUUUAGAACCUAAGUAGCUUUUAAAGUAUCUGACAAACCUGAAACGUCUAAAAGUGAAGAAGGAUUUGUAUCUUGACUUUAUGACCAUUCAUGAAAAGGUGACAUACAGUCUUAGAAGUCUGACUGGAAACCCUGAAGUCUGAAUUGGAAUCCAAAGGAUGGCUCACCACCUUGAGUACUUCUCUCAUUUACACUGGAAAGAGCUUAGAGAUCCAGAGAUGGUGAAGACUGUAAAAGGAGCCCCACCUUCUGAAGAGCAUUAAUUUGGUCAGCAAAAGUGUCUUCAGGAUUAGAGAUCUCCCAGACUCCUAGGGUUAAUCCCCAGGACAACCUUGCUUUAAAAGAAAAAAUGUGGUGAGCCUUCUUGAAGAUUUGGAUCCCAGAGGUCUCUGUCCUGCCUCAGCCAGACCCCAGACAGCCGGCUCAAGAAGAUGGACAUGUACAGAGAAAUAAGCAAUGUGUGGAGUCAUGUAGGAGACAUGUCUUUAGAUUCCACAGGGCCCCUUCUCUAGAGGAUAUGGCGAUGGAUGAUGUCCUUAUUUUCACCAAAAGAAUAUAAGCUGAUAUUGAAGAGUCACUGAGUUGUCCAGGUUGAACAGCCAGUUCAUGACUGAGAUAAUACCUGACCCCAGGUUCCUGACUCUAACACAACUCCCUUUUUUUGCUACACAAAGCUGUCACAAGGAAAUGGAAAAUGUAACUAUCUUCAAAUCAAGAGACAACCAACAUCCACUGUGGGUGUAAUUUUUUUCAAGCAAGAAUUGAAUUUGGACCAAUUUGAAUUCCAUGCACUCAGAUUUUUCUUCUAGUCACAUGUGAACACUAUAGAUUCAUUUUGUUACAGUGACACUUCUUUUUUGAAAAACAUACAUUAUACAUAUAUAACUAGAGAGAGAGUUCAGUUCCCUGGGAGCCUUAACUGCAUUCUUACAAAUUCAAAAAUCAAUAUACAUAUGUUAAACCCCACAUAGACCUAUGAAGGACACUUUACCUUUUAACUGAAACUACUCAAUAGCAGAAACAGUAGUGGGAAGAGAAAAUAAGAGUGCAUUGUGCUCCCACACUCUCUGUCUCCACCCACCUUAUUACAUGACAUUCCAUUAAGUUCAACAUUUCACAGUACAGGUAAGAAUUGCCAGUCUGUUCCCAGAAGAAAAGCUGACUCCGAAAAAUAACCACUAUAAAAAAAGGUUACCUUUCUUAGCUACCACCACCUUCCAUGUUUAGAUUCUCCUCAAAGAACAAGAGAAUCCAGAACCAUGAAACAUCUCUUCCACUCUUUCCAUCCAUGUCAGACCACAUAGUGAAAAAGUGCCUUUCCAUUUUCUUAAGGCAUCAGAAUUAAACUAAUGUUCACACACUUCCUUCAGAACUCAUUUCAGAGUCUGAGAGCCUACACAGUUGGGAAACUGUUUUAUUUCUAUCCCAAAUCCCUCACGUUGUAGUUUAAUCCCAUUUUCUCUUGUUUCCUGUGGAGAGAAAGAACAGCUGGUCUCCAUUCUCUCUUAACUCAAUCCCUUCAAGUCCUUAAAGACACCUACGUCCCAGCCUUCUCUUCUCUGGAAUAAAUAAUAGCAGUUCCGAUCAGGAAAAUGUCUCUUUUGGAUUGUGCAUGUUCACUGCCUUAUCACAUAGAUCCAUGCUCAUCACAUAGUUUUCAUAACUAAAACUGAGCCAAGGCCAAGAGGAAAAACAAGCAAAUGUAUCAUUGUUUUCAUAAAUGAAGUUACAGGUCCAAUAAUAGAUGCUGAAUACAUAGUCUUGAGUGAUAAUCUUCCAAUAAUUAUGUGCCAAAAUUAUCAUACUUUCUUUUAGAAAGUAUUGGCAAUCUGUUGCUUUUGGAGAGAUGAAUUAAAAAUGCAAUGGUUAGGUUUCAAUUUCCUUUAUGCAAGUUCUCCCCAUGCCCUGCGAUGGAAUAUUCCAUUCAGCAUUCCACAGCAGGACCCACCAUUGCUUUGACAAAAAUAGAUACAGUAUUGGAACAUUCAGUCAAUGGAGUAAUCCAAUUGUCUGAACAUUCUUUUCUGCUUUGUCAUUUACAUUUUAAUAAAUCCCAGAAUAUGUCAAGCUGUAUCCAGUUGUACCAAGUGUAGCUAAUAACAUGCAGUUACCAGAUACAAAGAGGAAAUCAUAACAUGCAAGUCCAGAAAUGUAUCAAUAUUUGGUUUGUGUAUAUUUUUAGGGCCCUACAUUCUGAAUAGUGAUACUUUUAAAAAUAAAAAAAAAGGAUGUUUAGCAAAAUAUUUGCUAUUAUCAACAUUCUGUUGGUGUUCAGUGUUCAUAGAGGAAGCUGUUGUGGGGAGGGGGCUCUACUUAAUUGAGGUAGGAAUGCUAGUAUCUGUUAACCCUAAGGAUAAAACUAUAUAGUGAGCAAAACGUGGAAUGUUAAAUUAUCAUCCUAUGCCUAUUUUUCUUCCAGUUUACUGUCUCAAUUGAGGGGGCCCAGAUAAUCACAUUUUGAAGUCUUUUGACCUUGAUACCAAGAGUUCAAGCAAACCAGUCCUGAAAAAGAUUGUAUGUGUGUGUGAUUAUUAUUAACCUAUAUGCAUAACAUACCCUAUGCAAAUAUCGGCCACGAAUUGUUUCCACAUUUGAGAGAUCUUUUAUCCUGGUUUUACAAAGCCCACUGAAUUUUUACAAUGUUAGAGCUACAGUGAUGGUGGAGUGAUCGUCUCAGCAUGUUGGGGAUCCCUAAAUGGCAGGUAUGUGCCUGGAGAGGAGGAGGCUUCUUCAAGGCUGAGACUAUUGGGAGAAAGUACAACUUAACUCUGCUUAUAACCUUUGUACCUAAUGGUCUAAGUCACUUAAGUUAGCCCAUCACAAACUCUCACUUUAGACUUCUCUCAUACCUCUUGGUGGUUAAUCGAUUGCCCUUGCGAUAUGAGCUGCCAAAGGACCAGGAUUAUUUCUUGACGUUAGGUAAAUCUGAUUAGUUUUAAACUUGUAAUAAAUUCAAGAACUAAAAGGACCAUUUAUCUUUUGCUAAUGCUUAGAGCAGUUGAAAUGCUUGCCGCAGGGAUUGUGAACCGCACACUGCUGUCACUACGUGGGGUCAAGUAUUGUGUUGAGAAGGAUAUCAUAGCUUACGGGAGUGGAAUGGAGAAAACUAAAUGGCAGUGGCAUUGUAAUGCACAAGUGAGGUCAUCAGCAUUUCUUGAUUCCCAGAGUUUUCUUGUACUGUGCCCCCCCGUGUGAUAACUGGUAAAUAUAGUAGAAAAGGAUGCACCAGCCAAGAGUGGAAUGAUCACAAUAUUUUGAAGACUUUUAGAGAAUGACCCUUCAAAUUUUCCCAUUCACUUAGAAUAUGGUCAAACGUUUGUUCUCAUAAAGUACUACCAUGAUUAUGUAACAAUGGGUUAUGGCUUUGGAUGGCAUGCAGUGAACUUGAAUUAAUCAAUGAAUGAUCUCAGUCAACAUUAGGGAGAAUUUUAGGAGGUAUGUCAGAUAGUGGAGGUCAAAAGGCACAGUGGAAAGUUCUAUUUUUGUAAAUCAAAGGUCUCCCAUUCUAGAUCUAACUCUAUGGGUAAUUCUUUAACUUUUCUGGAGUCGAGGUAGCUCUUUUGUAAAAUGAGAAACAUGGUAGGGGAGUCGUUCUUACAUCACAAAGAGACGUCAAAAGUAAAUAUGAUAAAAUGUAUUAAGUCUCUUAUUGCUUUUUAAUAUUCUCUCCUUGCCUUUAACUUUUGACAUUUUAAUUCUGUAAAGUAUCCUGGUGUAGAUCUCCUUUGGCUCAUCUUAUUUGGGCUUCCUGGACCUGGAUAUCUGUUUCCUUCUCCAGGUUAGGGAAGUUUUCGGCUCUUAUUUAAUCAAAUAAGAUUUCUUCCUUUUUCUGUCUCUGUUUUCUCCUUUUGGGAUCCUUUUAAUGCAAAUGUGAGUCCAUUUGAUGUCCCAAAAGCCCAUUAAGUUAUCUUCACUUUUUUCAUCCUUUUUGCUGCUCUAAUUGGGUGAAUUCCAUUGCCUUGUCUUUGAGUGACUGAUCAUUUCUUCUGCUUUAUCUAAUCUGCUGUUGAACCCCUCUAGUGUAUUUUUCUGUUCAGUUAUUGUAUUUUUGAGCGCUGUGACUUCUAUUUUGUACUUUCCUGUAUAUUUAUUCCUUUGAAAUUUUU